GUGAGAUUUAGGGAUUAACCCUAUUUGUGUAAAUCUCGGUAUUGUGACUAGGAUUACCGGCACCUGGUCAGGAGCACCCGGGGAUUUGGAAUCUCUACUAUUGCGGGACAACAGGAAAGGGUAAGGCAAUAGCUGAUCAGCCAUGAGUUUCAGGAGUAGACGAAGAAUGUACAUGUUCACGCCACUUCAGACCAAGCGGGUUAUGGGUCUAGCAGUGUUGACUUUUGUAUUCUGUUUUACCGCUUAGGUCGGCUAGUAAGAAAGAACUUGUAAUAAUUUUGUAAUUAUUUUUGGGAUCCCAACUAUGUUUGAAAAGUUUAAAUAUAUUACAAGUUUAUUUUCAGUC
This is a long non-coding RNA of Cannabis sativa, 346 nucleotides long. RefSeq lists it as uncharacterized. The transcript is spliced from 2 exons. The record is from RefSeq and is a predicted model, not a curated record. NCBI's taxonomy places the organism in Eukaryota, Viridiplantae, Streptophyta, Magnoliopsida, Rosales, Cannabaceae.